AGUAACAUGAAUGAUUAAAACAAUCACAUUUGGCCUCUUCUUGUUGUCCUCUUCAUGUCCUUUUAAUCUGUCUCCUGUUCACAUCCAUCCCUCUACUCUCUUCCUCUAAUCCCUUGCUCACCUUCACUCUCCCUCCCGUUUUCCUUUUCAAAUGGUCUCUCCUCUUCUUUCAUCCUCUCUCUCUGGUCUCCUGACCCGCCGCAACGAGAGCCGGGGAGCAGAGAAGAGAGAAAAUAAGAGGUGCGGAUCAGUUUCCGAAGUUUCUGAAGCUCUUCUCUCCAAAGAGCUCGACGAUAAGAGAAGUAUUACAGAGGAGGAUGAUGGUGGACAGAACGGAUCAGAGAUCAGAGAGCGAAGGUGACCGGAUCCGGACCAGCUUCCUCCCAUCUGACCAGCCCUCCAGAGCCGGCUGUGUCCUUCAGGAAAGGCACGGCGCCUUGAAGAGAUGGAAAGGAGAAAGAAGAGUGUUUCAGUGGGAAGAGGUGAAGUGAGCUACCUCUGAAGAGAUGAGUGUUUCACCUACAACAGAGGACGUGGAGUGACUGCUUUUCUGAGUCAAGUGAAAAUGUCAUCCGAACACAGAGGAGCGAGAACAUAAAGAAGCAGAAGACAUCAAAGCCUCCUAUGUGCUUCUCUCCACUGAAGUGUUGACCAUCGCUCAGAAAUAUCCACAACUAGCAGGACAAAGCCAGAAGAGAAGAGUGGAGCCUACCUCAAUGGAGCAAGCAUUACAACAAUCUGUUUACAGGGUCCUGCUCUCCUGGUGGCUUUAAUCGUUUCUGUCAUCAUAUUAAUAAACCUAUUGGAUCCCAAAUAAGCCUUUAUGUUCCCUUCCUUCAUUUCCAAACAAAAGAUACAUUUCUUGUCAUUAUUACUGAGGUUUUAAAAAUUACCUCCAUACUGUUCACAGACAUACUGUAUUAAAAUCACUGACCAGUGCAGGUUUUGUAAAAAUGAUGAUGACUGUAAAACCAAAAGAUGAGGUGAUAAAGAACGUCUGUUUAAUAUCAUUUAUACUAUUAACAGAUUUGUGGACAGUGAUCAUCGAUGGACCCUGAUUCUAGCAGUUUGUAUAUGAUGUCUGCUUUCACAUUUGACUGAGUUAUGACUCUGAUUGUUUAUAUUGUCUUAUUA
This is a long non-coding RNA of Thunnus maccoyii (southern bluefin tuna), 1134 nucleotides long. RefSeq lists it as uncharacterized. The transcript is spliced from 4 exons. Lineage: Eukaryota; Metazoa; Chordata; Actinopteri; Scombriformes; Scombridae. The record is from RefSeq and is a predicted model, not a curated record.